UACGUAGGGUGCAAGCGUUAUCCGGAUUUAUUGGGCGUAAAGGGCUCGUAGGCGGUUCGUCGCGUCCGGUGUGAAAGUCCAUCGCUUAACGGUGGAUCCGCGCCGGGUACGGGCGGGCUUGAGUGCGGUAGGGGAGACUGGAAUUCCCGGUGUAACGGUGGAAUGUGUAGAUAUCGGGAAGAACACCAAUGGCGAAGGCAGGUCUCCGGGCCGUUACUGACGCUGAGGAGCGAAAGCGUGGGGAGCGAACAGG
This 253-nucleotide ribosomal RNA is filed under the name uncultured bacterium. RNAcentral describes it as "partial 16S ribosomal RNA". It matches the Rfam family "Bacterial small subunit ribosomal RNA", at positions 524 to 776 of the family's 1533-position model. The record is from RNAcentral.